UUAGUCAUCUUUAUUGAAUCUUUGGCGCUAAUUAUUAAUUCCAAAAUUCGUAAUCAAUUCAUUCAAAGUAUACAAACACAAUGUUCACAGAUCUCAAUUGCGACUCGACCCAACUAGCCUUACAUCAUUUCGAGCCCACAGAUCUCGAUUACGAUUCCGCUCAACUAGUCUUACGUCAUUUCGAACGUGACUCAGACCAGCCUAACCUCUUGUCACAAGACAGGAUAUCGAUCUAUUUACGCUAACAAUCUCUCCUCCAGUAUCUGCAAAAAUUCGUAAUAUGCGCGAAUCAAAUUCGUUACCAAUGACUCUGAUACCAUUUAUUGUCGUUGGCGCUAACCAUCAAUCCCAAAAGUUCAAACUGUUAAAAAUAUGAAAUCAAUUUAUUGAAAUUAUACAGGCUAAGUUCUCAUGGGUCUUGACUGUGACUCGGCCUAACCAGCCUCACAUCACUUUGAACAUGAUUCGAUCUAACCCAGCCUCACGCCAUUUCGAACGUGAUUCGGUCCAACCUGAUCUCCCGCCACAAGGCAGGAUUCAUUUAAGCCAACAAUCAUGUGAGCUAUU
RNAcentral lists this long non-coding RNA (567 nucleotides) under Ananas comosus (pineapple). RNAcentral's name for it is "long non-coding RNA (ACOM_LNC004767)". The record is from RNAcentral. Lineage: Eukaryota; Viridiplantae; Streptophyta; Magnoliopsida; Poales; Bromeliaceae.